RNAcentral lists this ribosomal RNA (305 nucleotides) under uncultured bacterium. RNAcentral's name for it is "bacterial SSU rRNA". It matches the Rfam family "Bacterial small subunit ribosomal RNA", at positions 337 to 659 of the family's 1533-position model. The record is from RNAcentral.
UCCUACGGGAGGCAGCAGUGGGGAAUAUUGCACAAUGGGGGAAACCCUGAUGCAGCGACGCCGCGUGAGUGAAGAAGUAUUUCGGUAUGUAAAGCUCUAUCAGCAGGGAAGAUAAUGACGGUACCUGACUAAGAAGCCCCGGCUAACUACGAGCCAGCAGCCGCGGUAAUACGUAGGGGGCAAGCGUUAUCCGGAUUUACUGGGUGUAAAGGGAGCGUAGGUGGCAGGGCAAGUCAGAUGUGAAAACCCGCGGCUCAACCCCGGUAGUGCAUUUGAAACUGUCCGGCUGGAGUGCAGGCGAGGGA